GGUUCUUGGGCACUGGGAUUUGAUGCUUUACGCACACAAAACCAAACCACUUCAACCACCCCAGAGGCAGAGAUGAGAGCGCCUCAAAACUUUUCUCCCCCUCACCCACCUCCCCACCCAUCAAGGAGUAGGUGGGUGCGGAGUGCCGUCGGCGGGGACCCGCGGGCGCAGAGCGGCUCUUCGGGGGAGCAGUGGUCGCUUUAAAAACCAAACCACUCGCCGCUCCAGCCUCCGCGCUGGGCGGCCGGCGGCUCGCCUCCCAGAAGGUUCCGCGGACAGCCGCAGACCCCCACGCGCGCCCUCCGCGCCGGCUUUCCCGCGUGCAAACGGGAGUCGGGGGGCGCCAAGGGGCCCAGGUGAUGCUUCCAGGACAGCGGGCUUCUUAAUCAUCCACGGUGUAAAGACACACUUCAAGAGGAUCCUUAGAAGUCUUGGACAAGCUUCCCCACACGUGGCAGGUAUGUGUCUACACUGAGUGUGCAAGGAAUGUAACUUGUUUUAUUUUCUGCAGUUAGAUCUAAAUUAUAUUUCAACCCUUCGUGUAACCACGUGGAAGCAAUUUGAGGUUGCAUCCUAAUUCUAGGUAAGACUUUGAAGGUGAGGGGUGACAUAUCUGCUCCUAGGCUGUCAUCUCUCCACGAGUCAUGUUUGUCCUCUUAUCCUUCGUCAGUACUCAUGAGCCACUGCUGAGGCACACCUUGAUCUUCCUUUGAGGAUCUUUUCCUAUCUUUCUCUUGGCUUCUUCCAGAUACUCCGUGGACACGUGAGGGUGUGCUGCUGCUGAACCAGAAGAAAGUCUCUGGGGUGGCUUAGAGCUCUGUGCUCCUUGCAUGACGCUGUGAAGCCCCUGGGCCU
This 855-nucleotide long non-coding RNA is filed under the name Cervus hanglu yarkandensis (Yarkand deer). RNAcentral's name for it is "lncRNA (ENSCHYG00000013630.1)". Lineage: Eukaryota; Metazoa; Chordata; Mammalia; Artiodactyla; Cervidae. The record is from RNAcentral.